Cynoglossus semilaevis (tongue sole) is the source of this 396-nucleotide long non-coding RNA. RefSeq lists it as uncharacterized. The transcript is spliced from 3 exons. The record is from RefSeq and is a predicted model, not a curated record. NCBI's taxonomy places the organism in Eukaryota, Metazoa, Chordata, Actinopteri, Pleuronectiformes, Cynoglossidae.
GGAGGAGACGAGGAGCCCAGGUGCUCUGAUGACUGUCCAGAUGUCGUCUGGACACUGGAAGGGUUCGACAGAGCGGUGUUUACUUCACGCAGGAUUCUGGGCAGAGGACCCAGCUUUGAGGCGCCGCUCUGGAAAAAACAGGUCACCUGAUGAACACUUGGAUGGAUCGACUUCACAGUUCUCAUCUGACUCGUAGAGGGCCUUGAUGAACUCACCUGAAGGAAAGUAACCAAAAUAAUACGACUCGUAAAGAUUUGAGUGUUCUUGAUUUAAGCGAAGGCUCACCAAGGGCGUCCUGCAAAUACUUCUGCCCCACCAGUUUCAGGUAUUCCUCUAUGGCCUUUGUAGCGAGCGUGUUCUCUCUGAAGAUUAGGUGCUCAUUCUCUCCACAGCGGU